GUCUCAGCUCGAGCAUUCCUAGCGCCAACACGCCCUCAGGUAAAGGUGGAAGUAAAUGGCCACGCUGUAUUGACAGAGCAGGUAGAUGAAACUCAAGAGAAAAGGUGUGGAUAAAUGAAACUAGCCCAUGAUGAACCUGUUUUCUCCGUGACCACAAUAUUAACCAGGAUGAAUGGCGGUGGCAGUGGGCCUGCAUCACAGGUUGCAGCAGAUGUUCUCAAUAUUUCUAUUAAAAUUUCCUUAUUUCCAUAUGCAAGAGGAGCCCCAGAGCUGCAUCCUUAUGGUAGCUACCAUGCCGUGAUGUAAGCUGCCAUUCACUGGGGAGCUUUGGCAAUAGAAUUGGCUAGAUCAGGAAGCCUAUGUCAACUAUGGAACAACAACUUGCAGCUCAUCUCUAUUGAUGAUACACUGCCUCUAGGACUGGGACAGAUAGCCACUGAGUACCUGCUUCAAAUCACCCUGCACGUUUUCUCUUUGGAAAGAUAAGCACUGGAGAACCAUCUCGUUACCUUCAGCAGAAAUGGAAACAAAUCAAGACAUUAAGAAUGCCGCAGUGGACAGCAGUUAUGCAAGGUUCAGCAGAGGAAGUUUUCAAGAUGGUGUGCCUCACUAGCCAGAAAUCAGAAAAGAUCGAAGCUAGCCUUUUCAUCUCAGCUGCUCCUUAAAUCAGUGCAACCCCUCCAAAUUAAUGUGAAUUGAAACUUGCAUUGCUUUUCAACUUAAUUGAAUACUUACUAUAUGUGAACCACUGCACAAAAUAGGGGAAGAAGAUGUGGGAGACAAAGAUGUGGAGCCUGUCUUCAAUAAAUUUACAGUUAGUUUCAGGGUACAUUGUUUUUCUUCUGCUGUUAAUUAGGUGUAUCCCCAAGACAAUAAAUACAUGAAUGGAAAAGUAUAUUCUGUGUUUUAAGUCUCUUUAAUAAAAAACAAAACAAAAUCCAAAAAAACUCCUAACAUGGCAACUCAGGACAUUUUAAUCCUUUUUUUUGUUGUUGGGCUUCUGAUAGGAUCCAUUUUAUUGAUUCCAUAAAUAUUUAGUAGACUUUAGACAUAUUAAUACAUUGUAGUUUGAGUUAAUUUGCAUUAAAUUCUGUUUUUUUCCCCUUAGGUAUAGAUUGUCUGUUGGAAAAAUAUAUUGCUUGUGGAUUUCUUGGGGAGUGGGAAGGUGAAUUAUACCUGUUGUCUCUACAGUCCACUACCUUCCACACCCUAGGGCAGUGGUCCCCAACCUUCUUGGCACCAGGGAUCAGUUUCCUGGAAGACAAUUUUUCUGUGGAUGGUGUGGGGAUGGUUUUGGGAUGGAACUGUUCCACCUCAGAUCAUCAGGCAUUAGUUAGGCUCUCAUAACGAGUGCGCAGCCUAGAUCCCUCACAUGCACAGUUCACAGUAGGGUUUGCGCUGCUAUGAGAAUCUAAGGCUGCCACUGAUCUGACAGGAGGCAGAACUCAGGUGGCAAUGCUUACUGGCCCACUGCUCACCUCUUGCUGUGCGGCCUGGUUCCUAAUAGGCCAUGGACCCCCACAGACGGGUACUAGUCUGCAGCCUGUGGACCCCAGCCCUAGGGGCCUGCCAUUCUGAGUGAGUUAUUAGCAUGAAGAAGAGGAAGAUCUGGAUCAAACGUGGGUGAUGGUACUCAGAGACCCAAGAUAGGAUAGGGAUGGAACAAAAUCCAUCUGGGCAACGGCUCUAUGAAAAUUUGGCUAAGUAAUUAUUUCAGUAUUCAUUGUAUUCAUUGUCCUUCGUGUUCCAUAAGUUAAAUGACUGUCUAAUUUUUCCAAAAAUUUAUUUCUGACUUGAGAAUAAGUGUGUCAUGAUUUUCCCAGUGUAAAGACACUGAUAUAACUGUAGAUACCAGACAUUUUAUGUAGUGUCUAUGACACAUUUUAGUAUGUAUGAGCCAACAAUAGACAUGUCUUUGUCUUGAGGAGUGUCCAUCUGAAUUGAAAAUGUGUCAGCUUUUUUUUAACAUCAUCAACAGACUUCUUAAUUAAGCUGCCAAUACAUACUGCCAAUAGCACUGUGUGCUGUCUGAGAAAUGCAUUGUGUAAGUGCUAUUUCCAUCUUAUUAAAUAAACAAUGUUGCUCUGUAUAAACUGGAUUUAAAGUGUUCUUUGAAUGAGGCAUUAUAUUGCUCCAUAAAUAAUGUGAUGUGAAUUCUCAUAUGAUCCCUUUUAACUUAAUUUCUAAAAAAAUAUUAUUUGCUCCUCAGUAAGGAAUAGCUCUAAUUGGACUGGUAACUUUAGUGAUAUGAUUUGUCUGUAACAGGCUGAAUCGCCCCACUCCCAAACUCCUGGUCGUGAUACUGGAUAUUUGUUAUGCCACUUUUAGUUUGCAUGAGGUAUCUUCCAGGAAGUAUUAGUUAUUAACUUGUGUUCUACUAAACUGUAGAUAUUUAUUUCCUGUUCUGGAAGAUUUCUUGGAGUGUCCAUCUGUGCAUUCCUGGUGCCUAGUGUAGUCUUGCUAAUGGAAUAGCACCUUUAUUGGUGCUACUUAGGGGUUGGUAGCUUACAAUCAAUCUACUUGGAACGUAUCCAAAUAAACUGGAUAUUUUUAUACA
This 2557-nucleotide long non-coding RNA is filed under the name Homo sapiens (human). Its description in RNAcentral is "NR2F1 regulatory antisense RNA 1, transcript variant 6 (NR2F1-AS1)". Lineage: Eukaryota; Metazoa; Chordata; Mammalia; Primates; Hominidae. The record is from RNAcentral.